ACAAGAACGCAGGGGAGACACCACGAUCAUGAAAGUGGCUUCCCCAGGGUGGGGCUCAUCCAUUGCCCCGCGGGGGUGCUGAGCCCUGCGAUUUCCCCAAAUGAGGGCCACUCGGCUGCAUAAUUUGUGGUUAUUAUUUAGCCACAAGUGCCCACUUGUGGCUAAA
Small nuclear RNA from Hemicordylus capensis (graceful crag lizard), 166 nucleotides. RefSeq annotates it as U1 spliceosomal RNA. The record is from RefSeq and is a predicted model, not a curated record. Lineage: Eukaryota; Metazoa; Chordata; Lepidosauria; Squamata; Cordylidae. The transcript has a single exon.